This 254-nucleotide ribosomal RNA is filed under the name uncultured bacterium. RNAcentral's name for it is "partial 16S ribosomal RNA". It matches the Rfam family "Bacterial small subunit ribosomal RNA", at positions 524 to 776 of the family's 1533-position model. The record is from RNAcentral.
UGCGUAGGGGGCAAGCGUUGUCCGGAUUUAUUGGGCGUAAAGAGCUCGUAGGUGGUUCGGUAAGUCGGAUGUGAAAUCUCCAGGCUCAACCUGGAGGGGUCAUUCGAUACUGCCGUGACUAGAGUUCGGUAGGGGAGUGUGGAAUUCCUGGUGGAGCGGUGAAAUGCGCAGAUAUCAGGAGGAACACCCGUAGCGAAGGCGGCACUCUGGGCCGAUACUGACACUGAGGAGCGAAAGCGUGGGGAGCGAACAGG